AAAGCUAAAAACCAGGCUGCUAACCUGAUAAUAAUGAUAUUCAUUUAGCUUUU
RNAcentral lists this transfer RNA (53 nucleotides) under Ornithodoros moubata. RNAcentral's name for it is "tRNA-Ser". Lineage: Eukaryota; Metazoa; Arthropoda; Arachnida; Ixodida; Argasidae. The record is from RNAcentral.